UCUCGUAACUCUGCUAACUCCAUCUGUGUUCGGUGAGCAGCGUCCUUGUACUGCUGUUCCGAAAUCUGGAGAGUACGAUUCUGUGCCUCCGUCUGCUCAGCUCUAACCUUUAAGUUGUCGUUCCUAACUAUCAAAUCUCUUAUCAUCUCACUGUCUGUGUACUCCUCGCUAGAGUCCAUCAUCUCUUGGGUCAAGGAAUUACUAUCUUGACUUUCGUCAUUCAUCUUAUGACCACAAUAAACGAGACAACAUUAGUACUGAAAUAAAAUAUGUUCAUCGAUAAAAUGAAGUAAUAUUUUAUUUAGUACCACUAAAACUCGAUGAAUCUCUUCAACUCAUCAUAUCCUAUAACUUCUCACCAGAGUACUUCGUCUCCUGGUUCACUGAAUAUUUAUCUUAACUUUCGUCCUCCAUUCUACUAAGGUUGUAAUUCUUCACCAGAGUUCUUCAUCCAUUGAAUAUUUAUCUUAACUUUCGUUAUUCAUUCUACUAAGGUUAUAANNNN
RNAcentral lists this long non-coding RNA (505 nucleotides) under Panax ginseng (ginseng). RNAcentral describes it as "long non-coding RNA (PGIN_LNC001924)". Lineage: Eukaryota; Viridiplantae; Streptophyta; Magnoliopsida; Apiales; Araliaceae. The record is from RNAcentral.